UACGUAGGGUCCGAGCGUUGUCCGGAAUUACUGGGCGUAAAGAGCUUGUAGGUGGUUUGUCGCGUUGUUCGUGAAAACUCACAGCUUAACUGUGGGCGUGCGGGCGAUACGGGCAGACUGGAGUACUGCAGGGGAGACUGGAAUUCCUGGUGUAGCGGUGGAAUGCGCAGAUAUCAGGAGGAACACCGAUGGCGAAGGCAGUUCUCUGGGCCGUAACUGACGCUGAGGAGCGAAAGCGUGGGGAGCGAACAGG
This 253-nucleotide ribosomal RNA is filed under the name uncultured bacterium. Its description in RNAcentral is "partial 16S ribosomal RNA". It matches the Rfam family "Bacterial small subunit ribosomal RNA", at positions 524 to 776 of the family's 1533-position model. The record is from RNAcentral.